This 253-nucleotide ribosomal RNA is filed under the name uncultured bacterium. Its description in RNAcentral is "partial 16S ribosomal RNA". It matches the Rfam family "Bacterial small subunit ribosomal RNA", at positions 524 to 776 of the family's 1533-position model. The record is from RNAcentral.
GACGAACCGUACGAACGUUAUUCGGAAUCACUGGGCUUAAAGGGUGCGUAGGCGGCGCGGAAAGUUGGGUGUGAAAGCCCUCGGCUCAACCGAGGAAUUGCGCUCAAAACUACCGUGCUUGAGGGAGAUAGAGGUGAGUGGAACUAAGGGUGGAGCGGUGAAAUGCGUUGAUAUCCUUAGGAACACCGGUGGCGAAAGCGACUCACUGGAUCUCUUCUGACGCUGAGGCACGAAAGCUAGGGUAGCGAACGGG